UUGAUCCUGGCUCAGGACGAACGCUGGCGGCGUGCUUCACACAUGCAAGUCGAGCGGUGAAGCCCCUUCGGGGGUGGAUCAGCGGCGAACGGGUGAGUAACACGUGGGCAACCUGCCCCUAGCACUGGGAUAACCCCGGGAAACCGGGGCUAAUACCGGAUACGACCACCGAGGGCAUCCUCCGGUGGUGGAAAGUUCCGGCGGCUAGGGAUGGGCCCGCGGCCUAUCAGCUCGUUGGUGGGGUGAUGGCCCACCAAGGCGACGACGGGUAGCCGGCCUGAGAGGGUGACCGGCCACACUGGGACUGAGACACGGCCCAGACUCCUACGGGAGGCAGCAGUGGGGAAUAUUGCACAAUGGGCGCAAGCCUG
RNAcentral lists this ribosomal RNA (371 nucleotides) under uncultured bacterium. RNAcentral describes it as "bacterial SSU rRNA". It matches the Rfam family "Bacterial small subunit ribosomal RNA", at positions 13 to 385 of the family's 1533-position model. The record is from RNAcentral.